This 925-nucleotide long non-coding RNA is filed under the name Manihot esculenta (cassava). RNAcentral's name for it is "long non-coding RNA (MESC_LNC007291)". The record is from RNAcentral. Lineage: Eukaryota; Viridiplantae; Streptophyta; Magnoliopsida; Malpighiales; Euphorbiaceae.
CAUUCUAUAACGGAAAGAUUAUCCUGAAUUUAUUUAAAAUUUUGUCUCUUUUAGGCAUUUGUUCUCCUUUUUUGCAUUGAAGUGGCGUAUAAACCACACUCGAAUCUAUCCGAACUGUCUGUGCUCAAUUGUACAAAGCCAUUUACCAAUUUUAUGCAUUUUGUCUAACAUGAAAAUAUAUUAAUAGAUUUUAAGUCAGUAGUACUUUAGUCAAAUUUUGAGAUGAAUAAAUUUUUAAAUUUUAAUUUUAAUUGGAGUGAAUUAUACUAAAACAAAUUAUGUGGAGAAGUAAAAACAAAAUGGCUCCAUUAGUCCACUGGUGGAGUAAUAAUCUCCUUAUCUGUAAACUUCAAUUAAGGAGCGAUUAUUAUGUCAGAUUCAGUUCUAUGCAAUUUGGCUUGGGGUAGGGCAAGGAAGGCGUUUCUUUUCUUUUCUUUUUUUUUUUUUNNNNNNNNNNNNNUUGGUUUCCACAGCCACUAUUUUUGACAUCACCAUAACCAUUCUUUAUCCACAAUUUGGUUUGAUGUUUCAUAGCUCACUCAACCCAGUUCAAAUCUUUAAUUUAUUCUCUUUCUUCUAGCAAUGGAAGAUUAUUCCUUCUCUACAGUGGAAUAUAUAUUCAAUUAACAAUUAGUAUUUUAGUUGAAUUGUGAUAUAUUAGCUAUUAUUAUUAUUGAUCAAGUAUUUAUACAGUCAAAAGAAAUAACAAGUUUCCAUUAUGAAAUUAUGCAAAAUUGCAAACCCUCUUGGCUGUUCAUGGAUGAUCACAUACCAUUCUUAUCACCUAAUUAGUGGCCAUAAAUGUUGGGGAAGGAAAGCUGGGUUGGUAGAUAUGCUGGUAUAAAUGAGAAAUAAAAUAAUGCAUUUUUUUUUUAAAAUUAAUUUCUAGGUGGGAAUACUAUAAAUAGAUUGAUUUUUUUUUUUU